GGAGGAAUAGGAGCUGGAGGGGAGGAGGAGAGAAGAAAAGAGGAGAAGGAGGGGGAAGAGAGGGAGCGGGUUCAAGGAGGGAAGGAGGAGGAGAAGGAGAGGAGGAGGAGAUGAGACCAAGGAGAAGAGGUGAAGGAGGAGAGGAGGACACAGAAAAGAGAAGAAAGAGGAGAGGAGACGGAGAAGAGGAGGAGGAGUAACAAAGGAGGAAGAAGAGGAAGAGGACUAGAAGAGCAAGUUCCAGUUCUCGGUGCGCCCCGUUCUGCAAGACACUCUCCUGUGGUCAGCCCUGGUCUGCAGAGGAUUCCCGCGCUGGAUCUCUGAAGGAUGCUGGCGCCCUCUCUGCAGCACAUUCCUGAUGCCCUUGCUGACACGUGUCCUCUGGGCCCUCUCCUGAAACCUGAUUCUCCGGGGUGUCUUCUGGCCUCACCUCUUCUGUCCAGUUCCAGCAAGCUCACUUUGCUUAGCCUUUGAAUCCCUUCCUUCACUGUCUGCCAUGACAGUUCAGGCCUUUCACCGUCACUCAGGCCUGGACCAUCACUGUUGCCCAUCCCAUGCCAUCAACAGGUUUGCCCCAUCCCUUCGGCUCCCUACCAGGGCAUUCAGUUGUGUUGAGCAGCAGAGUGUCUCCAAGUCCCCACUGGUUGAGCUGCAUCCGGGUCCCAUCCCACAGGGACCCCCUGGCCGCUGCAGAUGCAUGCUGAUCCUGCAGCUCCUCGAGGGUGUCAUCGCUUUCCCCCUUCCCAGACCCAGCACACCCUGCCUGCAUGGCGCUGCGCUGCACCUUCACUCUGGUCACGGGUCUGGCAGUCAGCUCACCAAUUCCUCCUGCUUCCCUGGGACUUGCCGGCUUUUAGCACUGCAAUUCACUCAGCAAACUGGGACUGUUGGUCACCCUACCUGGCAGCCAGUGAUAAGGUGAGGGCCACUCCUGGGAGGGAGGACACCUGUGGGGAAAAUUCUUGUGUUAUUUAUUUCUCCUUCGGGAUAGGGUGCCUGCAGCGCUUCAUGGGAGGGGGUGGGCUGAUGCUGCGGGCUCAGAAGUUUCAAGGGCAUCUGGGGAGACCAGAUAUUCAGAGACCUUCUAGAUGUGCCUGUUCCAUGUAUCAGGGACGCAGGUUUUCCCAACAGGGCUGGUGUCAUUGGCAUGACAGACCUGCCUUGGCUGAGCGUUCACCUGUCUUUGGAGUUCAGCCACCUUAGCAAGUCCUGGGUUUGUUCUUCAGACUUUGCUGCUCGCCCAUUGCCUGGAUCGGGGGCUACUUUGUAAACCACCAGGAAGACUCCAGUGUUUCUGGUUAAUUUUUAGAUGUUUGUUAAUUGCUCUUGGUCUCUCAUUAAUCCCCUGUGGGUCAUCCAGGAAACAUACUCACCACUGUCUGUUCUCUGAGUUUUCAUUUCCAGGCAUCCGCCCUGCCUGGAUCUCCUCACCUGCCAGGAACUUCCUCUCCACAAGCCGGCCAUCCCAGCAAAAGUUCUAACACCAAAGGUCUGGCAACUAGCCUGCCAUCUUGUGCCUGGAGCCGCCUGCGUGCCACCUACUCCCGAAGAUGGGAACCUUGUUGCCAGUUGGGCAGAUGCGGGGCAAUCCUGUACCAAGACCCCAUUUUACCACCUGCUUUCUCAGACCACUCUGGAACCCACUGUCUCAGAUUGUGUCCUCCAGGAAGCAGACCAUGAGAGGGAGUUGGCAGGGCCAAAGAUUUACUGGGGCUAACUAACACUCAGGAAAGGGAUAGGAAGGAAACAGGGCUGGAGAGCAGGUUGAGCCCGACCUGACAGUCUCGAGCAGCCCAACAGGGAGGUGUGGAGCAAGGGUUGCCCACUAGAGGGGCCUGCAUUGGGUACGGGUGAUGGGGUCCACAUGGUACCUGGCAUAUAGCAGGCUGUGCAAUCCAUAUUAACUGACUGGAUAAAUUAAUGCCCAGAAAAGGUGCCCUGGAGAAUGGGUGUGUGCUGAACACAAUAGGGAAGGGCCCAGCAUCUGCCUUGGCAUAGGCAGAACUGUGCUGUGCCCUGCAACAGGCCACCUGAGAGCUGCUUUGAUCUUGUGUGUACAUUAGAUGACUGCCAGGGGCAUGAAGGGGAUGUGCUUCCAGGGCAUUUGCUGGCAGGGCGUCUCGUGAUCUCUUGGUAUUGGUGUGAGCACAGCCUGGCAGGAGAGGGCAGAUCUCCAUGCAAAGUAUGUCAGAAAGCAGAUGGAAGCCAGGCCCCCUCCUGAAAGAGGCUCCUUGAAGGUAGGUGCACACUCAUGUCUUUGUUACUUGUAAGGGGGCAUCUUACAGGCAAGAGGAGUUAGGUGAAUGUGAAGAGGAAGGAACUACUCUGGGCAGGGGGCUGGGGGACGCUUCGUAGAGGAGGGGGUGUUUGAGCUGGGCCUUGAAGGUCAAAAGGGUUUUGUUAGGUGGGAAAUGGGGGAAGGACAGUCUGAAAGGGUUAGGUACAUUCAAGGAGCCCAGAGAAGGUUCGUGGCUGGAGCAGACGCAUUCGUAGAGUGAAGUCAUGGGAGAGAAGAGGCUGGGAAACUAGAUUGGUUCCAACUCCUAAAGGACCACUGAAGGAGUGUGGGCUGCACGCUGGGUGCAGCAGGUGAGUUUCCUCACUUGGGUUUCACUGUCAGCAUUUUAAAAAGGCAAACUGGUUUUCUUCCUGAGAAGAAUUCAUUGAUUCACUUGUGGCCAGUAAGUCAUCUGGGCCAGAGGUUGGUGGGGAGAUGAUAGGGGUGCAAGUGUCAUCUUCAAUCACAGCAUAACUGCCCUUGCUUUCUUACCUCUCGUUUAGAUAUUUCAAUGCUUGCUCAGGUCCCCUGCGCCCUCCUUCCUUCUCCCUUCCCAGCCAUACUACUUAUGGGAUGACUUUCUCUUUGUAAAAUGACCGUUAGUCUUAUCAAAUUAAUCCCAAAGUAAUACCA
RNAcentral lists this long non-coding RNA (2911 nucleotides) under Homo sapiens (human). RNAcentral's name for it is "non-protein coding LINC00894:16". The record is from RNAcentral. Lineage: Eukaryota; Metazoa; Chordata; Mammalia; Primates; Hominidae.